GCAGGGAUGGCGGAGUGGUCUAACGCGCCGGUCUGGAAAGCCGGUCUCCUCACGGAGGCACGAGUUCGAAUCUCGUUCCCUGCG
This 84-nucleotide transfer RNA is filed under the name Candidatus Iainarchaeum sp. Its description in RNAcentral is "tRNA-Ser". It matches the Rfam family "tRNA". Rfam says of the family: Transfer RNA (tRNA) molecules are approximately 80 nucleotides in length. Their secondary structure includes four short double-helical elements and three loops (D, anti-codon, and T loops). Further hydrogen bonds mediate the characteristic L-shaped molecular structure. tRNAs have two regions of fundamental functional importance: the anti-codon, which is responsible for specific mRNA codon recognition, and the 3' end, to which the tRNAs corresponding amino acid is attached (by aminoacyl-tRNA synthetases). tRNAs cope with the degeneracy of the genetic code in two manners: having more than one tRNA (with a specific anti-codon) for a particular amino acid; and 'wobble' base-pairing, i.e. permitting non-standard base-pairing at the 3rd anti-codon position. The record is from RNAcentral. Lineage: Archaea; Nanobdellati; Candidatus Iainarchaeota; Candidatus Iainarchaeia; Candidatus Iainarchaeales; Candidatus Iainarchaeaceae.